Oryzias melastigma (Indian medaka) is the source of this 1437-nucleotide long non-coding RNA. RefSeq lists it as uncharacterized. The transcript is spliced from 4 exons. The record is from RefSeq and is a predicted model, not a curated record. Lineage: Eukaryota; Metazoa; Chordata; Actinopteri; Beloniformes; Adrianichthyidae.
AAUUAAAAAAAAUGAACUAUGGCUGUUCCUACUUUUACUGAAGUGCAUUUUCUUAUUUUUAUUUAACUUUUUUGAUUUUCCACCCAUUUUUAAAAUCCUUGCGUAAAUAUUAAUGAAUACAUUUAAUAUUUUGCAAUACACAAAGAUGUUGACAAGGGAUUACGCAACACUCUUGAGUAGACUCCUAAAAAUUUUGAUCCUCGUGGGAUUCCGUAGCUGACUUGGUAGUUUCGCGGUCAAACUUGACCAAACCACGCACGCGCUGAAGACGUUACCACGGUGGGAAGACUUCACUGAGGUUAUCGUCGCCGUCUUUCACUGUUAUUAAUGUGUUGAUGUGGCGUUGUAAGUUGUGUCAGAAAGUGAUGUCAACAAGGACUCUUUUGUUCAGGCACUACAGAUGGACUCCAUUGAUAGAAGAAGAUGUUGUAUCCUGAAGGCCCUUGCCGUUUAUCUCAAUGAAGACCCAAGCAACAUUUUCAAAGAGUACAUGGAUUUGGACUUCUGUGCCCAGCAGCAAAUGCCAAACACCGCCAUCGGCAUUUAUGCCAUUCUUCAUGAAGGGGGAGAUUGUGGCAGGGAAGAUCCUGAAGAUGUGGGGAUCAUCAUCGAGGGAGUCACCAUUCUGCAAGACCUUCAUGACAAUGCACCAGCAUUCCAUUUGCUAUUUGGACUGAUGUACGUGCUCAAUCUGAGCUACCCUCGGGAACUCAGGUACACAUUGAAUUUUGCCAGAAGGUGCUCAUGGAGCUCGAUGCCAAGAAAGUUUCAAACAAGAUCCAAGUCCUGAAACAGAAGCUUCUAGAAUAGACUUGAGAUGGAGAAGCAAACUGUUCACAAAAAAUCAACAACUGUGGGUGUUGGUUACUUCACUGGUCAAGACUGUUUAAAAAGAGACAAAGUUUGUGAAUGUUUUUAUGUUAAAUAAAUUUAUUGUGAAAAUGCAACUAAUGGCUUGCAAAGUUAUUUUGAAAUGACCCACAGCUUUUAUUUAAAUUUUACAGAUUAUAUUUAUUCUAAAUGUUCAUAUAGGUGCAAUGUUAAAAAUUGAAUGUUGUAAAAACUGCAUAAUAAAUGCAAAAUGUUUAAAAAUGAUUUACUGGCAAUGUUUUUUUUGUUCACUUCAGGGAAACUGCUUGUUUAUGUUAGCAUUACUUAAUGCAGUUGCAUGCAACCGCUUGAUGCAACAUUCUUGAGUAAAUAUAACUAUAUGUUUUGCAUAAUAUUAUGGAAAAGGUGAUGUAAGUUUAAUGUAAUGUAAUUUAUUACAAGGUACUCAAUAUUUUUUAAUUAGGAUUUUUGAGGCAUUUUCUUAAAAUGUAUCUUACAAUGUUGAGUAAUUAUUAUAAAAUAUUUUCUUAAGGAAUUACACAAUACAGUCAUGUAUUAUGUAUUUAGCAAAGUUGAGUAGUAUUUACGCAAUGAAAUAAGCUUGCA